RNAcentral lists this unclassified non-coding RNA (279 nucleotides) under fungal sp. RNAcentral's name for it is "partial internal transcribed spacer region". The stretch from base 1 to 46 matches the Rfam family "Eukaryotic small subunit ribosomal RNA", at positions 1786 to 1831 of the family's 1831-position model. The record is from RNAcentral. Lineage: Eukaryota; Fungi.
AAGUCGUAACAAGGUUUCCGUAGGUGAACCUGCGGAAGGAUCAUUAGCGUAAUUCUGGUUGAAAAACCGAGGAUUUCCACACUUGUGUUUUAAGCAAAAGGUUUUCAAAGUGUUCUCUUGUUUUCUUUACUAGAAAAGGGAGACACUAGGAAUUUUUUGCGAACUCAAAAAAUGUCUCUUUUUUUCUUUUCUGUUUGAUUACAGAGGAAGAAGGACGGUAUAAACUUUUUUAUUAUCAAUAAUAAAUAAAAACUUUCAACAACGGAUCUCUUGGUUCUG